AUACAGUGUAGUACAGAACACCCAAAAAUCAUCACAGGGAUUCAUGAACUCACUUUCGAAUGGAAGAAAUGUGUUGUUCAAUUGGCAUUAACCCGGGGAAGGGGAGACCGAGGAGGAAAUGGCGACCAAGAGAAGUGUGGGCACCCUGGGCCACAAGGACCUCAGGGGCAAAAGGUGUUCCUUCGUGCCGAUCUGAACAUUCUGCUGGACGACGGCCGGAACAUCACCGAGGACAACCGCAUCCGUGCCUCCGUGCCGUCCGUGCCGUCCCUCAAGUUCCUCAUGGGGAAGGGCGCCAAGGUCAUCCUAGCCAACCAUCUGUCCUCUGUCCAGUUCAUG
RNAcentral lists this ribosomal RNA (339 nucleotides) under Triticum aestivum (bread wheat). RNAcentral describes it as "partial small subunit ribosomal RNA". Lineage: Eukaryota; Viridiplantae; Streptophyta; Magnoliopsida; Poales; Poaceae. The record is from RNAcentral.